GAGUUUCACAGUCAAGCCGAGCCCAGCUUGUUUCUUUGUGAGGCUUCACUUCAGCACAGCAACGCUCGGUGCCAAAAGAUGAAGUCAGCCUGGACAGAUCAAGGACGAAACGAGAAGAGAGAAUUGGGGAAGACACAGAACAAAGAGUGGAUCAGCAUCAACCCUCAACUUGAGCCUGUACAGUCAAUGCAUGACAACGCCAGAUCUCAGGCACCAGACCACCGUAGGCAGCGGGAGGAGGAACAGAAGAAAGAGAUGAUACGGACAUGAAGACAGUGUGCUCCCUUCUGCAGGGUCAAGACUAACAGAUUGGCUGUUUGAGGAAAAUAACAAAAGACCAUUCAGAACAUGGCACGGGUCUUCCUACCUUUUCUAGUCUUCUGAUUUAAGAUGCAUUUUUAAAGAAACAAACAGUCCUCCUUCCUUUCUGUGUGAUUACCUUGGGAAGACAAGUGAUUCACUAUUAUGUCUGUAAUGUAUCAAGAAACCUGAGGCUCAGUGAAAGAGUUUCCAAUCCCACUUUAUACCAUCCAUCCAUUAUCGAUACCGUCUAUCCUUUAAGGGUCACGGGGGAGUUGGAGCCAAUCCCAGCUGACUAUGGGUGAGAGCAUAUAACAGGGCAGACAUAUAAAGAGAAACAACCAUUCAAGCUCACAUUCACACCUAAAGACUAUAUCCAAUUGACCUCACCCCAUUCUGCAUGAAGGAGGAAGUCGGAUUACCCAGAAAGAAACCCACACAAACACAGGGAAACAGCCAAGCCGGGAUUUGAACCAGAACCCUUCUUGCUGUUAUGCGACUGUGCCUUUCCCCAUCAUGUACAACCCACUGACACAACUGCAGACUAUAGGGGGAAAUAUGUUCACACACUAAAGUCAAUAGGUGAGACUGUGACUUGAGUGCUCCAGAGAAAAAUGAUACGAGAGCAGAACAUGAAGCAGAGAGAGUUUCCGAUUGAGUGACUCGCACGUUUUCUUGUGGGGCCGUUUUCCACACCGGAUGAGUCAAUCUGCUAAAAGAAAUAUAUUUUUUCCUGUACAAGACGAUUGCAAGAUGAACACGAAUAUGAGUGUGCAGAAGCGAAACGUGUAAUGUUUGCUGCUGCCGAUGAUUCAUUCGUUCCGAUGUUUACAGAUUCUGUACACGUACGGUGAGUGAGUUGGGAGAGGAGCCUCUGAGCGGACUGCAAGUUCAUGUUGCUGAGAUAUAAUCUGUUAUCUGUCACACUGGAAAACAUUCAAUGACUGUUCUGAAGAUUGUCUUGUAUUGCCGGAGGUUUUACCAAUACGGCCGUUUAUGCUCCGAGUUUACAAACUACCUGAUUAACCGACUCAGGUACAGUUUUCUGAUGCUCAAGCUUAAGAUUCUCGUCGCUCUAUUGGAUGAGCUGAUGCACCUCAGAUAGGGAUACAAUAGUAUUGGAUGAUUUUAAUAAUAAGCUAUUAUUUAAAAUGAGACUGUCUGAAGUUGUGGAAAGGCUUAUGGAAAUUGCACAGCACAAAUUUUGAGUGCUAAGGAGACAAAUGAUAAUGGUUUCCAUCCUGUGUCAUUCAGACAUGAUGUAUUCUCGAGCUGUGACACAAACUUUGUCUUUUCUUUGUCAUGAUUUCAAAAUGUUUCAUCACCCUGAGUCACACAGUGCUCCUCCGAGUCCACGGCUACAACCAUUUGCCUCACCGCGCAUCGAUAAGGGGGAUCAAAUGUGACCGAAUGUAAAUGACACGUGUUUUACAGACAGUUAAGCCAGGUGAGGCAGCUCUCAGUGUCAUAUUGUUCUGUUCAGCCAUCAGGCCCCUGUUCCCUGAGCCGACAUGAACCUGGGAAACAUCCAGGCCGACAAAUCUGAAUAUUACUCAUCCUUUCUUAUGUCCUUGAGAUGACAAUAGCUCCUCUGGGAGAGGCAUGAUCAUUAUACAAGGGUCUGAAUACUGUGCCUUUUGGGUUCAAUCCAAAGUCCAGGAAAGGCUAUUGUGCCUUUAGAUUUUUCCCUGUCACGAGGAACACACACUCACACAGUAGACAUCAGCACCCUGCAGCCGCUGUGGUGCCAUCACUGCUGUACCCCUCCCGCAAGGAUCAUCAAGAUAAGGCAUUACCCAAAAUACAGCCUGGUGUUGUCCAAUCAAAUCAAUUGUUCUUGUUUCAAGGAACUCUUUUUGACUGGGGCCCAAUUUGACACGUGGCUAAUUGAGGUUCCAGUUCAAGUCGUUAUCCUUUAAGGGAAUAAAGGAGGAUGAAGGACUUGGGAGGCAGCCUUGGACAACCCCGCCCUCAUGAAACAGAAGAGUGAAGGCUGCAAGGACAAAGUAAACUGUAUCGGUCUGUGGGGAAAGUCAAUUACACCAAAUCCUUUUCAGAGCUGCUGGAGUACUUACUUUGUUUCUCCAACUAUUGGUCAUAUAUUUAAUCUAUCUAUACAACCCUGCUUUGUGGACUGGCUGGAAUUGGUAGUUGCUCAAAAAAAGAUGAUCUAGUAAGAACUUCUUUAUUUUUUUAACUUUUUAGCACUCAAACUUAAUAUUCUGGCCCUGAAAAAAAAUGGCAACCAACCAUAACGUCACAGAUUGGUUUGUGAAAAGCUGUUUGAAACCCUGAGGUUUGAAAUUUUGGCCACGCACCAUUUUAAGAGUUUUGAAAACAGAGCUGACCAUCUUUUGAGGAGCCGGGGGUGGAGCCUGACUGAGAGCUCGAGGACGCUGCUAACCCACCUACACCUGCAGCCUACACCCAUUGGACGUAACUAGCUGUCAAUCACAUGGUAUCCAUGCCCCAAUGCAUACAGUGCUUUACUGUCUAAUUAUUACUAUUUCUAUUGUCAUUGUGCCACUGUUAUUGCAUUCUGAUUUUUGAUGACUGAUAUUGUACAUGAUGUUGAAUA
Pleuronectes platessa (European plaice) is the source of this 2878-nucleotide long non-coding RNA. RefSeq lists it as uncharacterized. The record is from RefSeq and is a predicted model, not a curated record. NCBI's taxonomy places the organism in Eukaryota, Metazoa, Chordata, Actinopteri, Pleuronectiformes, Pleuronectidae. The transcript is spliced from 3 exons.